GCGGGCGUGGCGGAAUUGGCAGACGCGCCAGACUUAGGAUCUGGUGGGUUCCCAUGCAGGUUCGACCCCUGUCGCCCGCACCA
This 83-nucleotide transfer RNA is filed under the name Clostridia bacterium. RNAcentral describes it as "tRNA-Leu". It matches the Rfam family "tRNA". From Rfam's summary of the family: Transfer RNA (tRNA) molecules are approximately 80 nucleotides in length. Their secondary structure includes four short double-helical elements and three loops (D, anti-codon, and T loops). The record is from RNAcentral. Lineage: Bacteria; Bacillati; Bacillota; Clostridia.